RNAcentral lists this ribosomal RNA (228 nucleotides) under uncultured bacterium. Its description in RNAcentral is "partial 16S ribosomal RNA". It matches the Rfam family "Bacterial small subunit ribosomal RNA", at positions 568 to 795 of the family's 1533-position model. The record is from RNAcentral.
CGCGCAGGCGGUUAUAUAAGCCUGGUGUGAAAUACUGCAGCUUAACUGCAGAACCGCACUGGGAACUGUAUGACUGGAGUUCAAGAGGGGAAGCUGGAAUUCCUGGUGUAGGGGUGAAAUCUGUAGAUAUCAGGAAGAACAUCAGUGGCGAAGGCGAGCUUCUGGCUAUGAACUGACGCUGAGGCGCGAAAGCGUGGGGAGCAAACAGGAUUAGAUACCCUGGUAGUC